AUGUUAGGUUCACAAGAGGUUGAGGCUUUUUCAGAUUUGUUUUUCACCUCUGUGUCUGUACAUGGGAAAGUGCAGCUUAAGGGCAUGCUUGACACUGGGUCUAUGGCCUGUACAUUGAGUGAACAUGCGGAGCAGAGACUUUUGGAAGCAGGUGCCCUUCCUCAGCAUUAUCAGCCUCCCACAGAAUUAGUAUUAGUGGGGUGUGGGGGUAAGAAGACCUCAACAAAGUGUUUCUAUGAUUUGGAGAUGCAAAUCUAUGGGAUUGAUGUUAAAGUGGCCACUCUAGUUGUCCCUGGACAGCGUGAUGAUCUCAUCCUGGGAUCGAAUGUCAUUAAGCAUCUAUUGCAUGAGAUGAAAGGCACUGACGAAUACUGGAAGCUCGUCAACAACAUGGAUGGCCAGACCCACUCCCCAGAGGGUGAGCAGUUUCUGCAGAUGAUGACAAGUGUCACAAGAUGGAAGGGACAGCAAGUCGAUGGCAAGGUUGGGACAGUGAAGCUCACUCAAGCUGUGACUCUUUCGCCCAAGACUGAACACUUAGUUUGGGGUAAACUUCCUAAAUAUGUGGCAUUGUCUCCAGGCAGCACUGUAAUAGUCGAACCUACCAGGUCAAAGGUCAUGCCCAGAAACAUACUCGUGGGUAGAGUUAUUACACCUAUGUGGGGAGAUGGCUGGGUCCCUUUAAAGGUAGUAAACUGUUCUGACAAACAUCUCACCCUAAGACGUAACAUGAAGUUGGCCGAUGUGUCUACAUGCUUGGCUGUUGAGGAUGCAACAAUCUUUCAGGGCCUUCAUGAAGUGAGGAAAACCCCAAUGGAACAGAAGCAGGAUGACAAUGGUUGCCAAAAUCUGAAACAAAGACUGUCUGAUCUAGGAUUAGUAGACAUUGUCAUUGAUGGAUGCCAGGUAACUGACCAGUGGAAGGAAAAGCUUGUGAAUACCAUCACAAAAUAUGAAGAGAUCUUCUCAAGACAUAAUCUGGACUGCGGAGAAGCCAGGGAUUAUGUUCAACGUAUCCACCUGGUUGAUGACAGACCCUUCCGGCUACCAUACAGAAGAAUUCCGCCUGCUCAUUACCUGAAGCUGAGGAAGGUAUUGACAGAUAUGGAAGAAGUAGGUCUUAUACGCAAGUUAGUUAGUGAGUAUGCCUCCCCUUUAGUCAUGGCAUGGAAGAAAGACGGGAGUCUGAGGUUAUGCACUGACUUCAGGUGGAUGAAUGCACGAACGGUGAAGGACGCUCAUCCCCUUCCUCAUAAAGCAAAUUGCUUGGUGGCAGUGAAUUUUUCAGCACCAUGGACUUGA
This 1302-nucleotide long non-coding RNA is filed under the name Oncorhynchus mykiss (rainbow trout). Its description in RNAcentral is "lncRNA (ENSOMYG00000068991.1)". The record is from RNAcentral. Lineage: Eukaryota; Metazoa; Chordata; Actinopteri; Salmoniformes; Salmonidae.